This 513-nucleotide ribosomal RNA is filed under the name uncultured bacterium. Its description in RNAcentral is "bacterial SSU rRNA". It matches the Rfam family "Bacterial small subunit ribosomal RNA", at positions 993 to 1516 of the family's 1533-position model. The record is from RNAcentral.
GACGUGCGGAGAAAUCCGCAUUUCCCUCGGGACUUCCGACGAGGUGCUGCAUGGUUGUCGUCAGCUCGUGCCGUGAGGUGUCGGCUUAAGUGCCAUAACGAGCGCAACCCCCAUCUACAGUUGCUAACAGGUGAAGCUGAGGACUCUGUGGAGACUGCCGGCGCAAGCUGAGAGGAAGGCGGGGAUGACGUCAAAUCAGCACGGCCCUUACGUCCGGGGCGACACACGUGUUACAAUGGCAGGUACAGCGGGAAGCCACUUGGCGACAAGGAGCGGAACCCGAAAACCUGUCUCAGUUCGGAUUGGAGUCUGCAACCCGACUCCAUGAAGCUGGAUUCGCUAGUAAUCGCGCAUCAGCCACGGCGCGGUGAAUACGUUCCCGGGCCUUGUACACACCGCCCGUCAAGCCAUGGAAGCCGGGAGUGCCUGAAGUGCGUGAGCGCAAGCAGCGCCCUAGGGUAAAACCGGUGACUGGGGCUAAGUCGUAACAAGGUAGCUGUACCGGAAGGUGCG